Non-coding RNA from Podarcis lilfordi (Lilford's wall lizard), 894 nucleotides. Lineage: Eukaryota; Metazoa; Chordata; Lepidosauria; Squamata; Lacertidae. The record is from the annotation of a GenBank genome assembly.
CCGGAGUCUGGCCUAGCCGUGCCACUAUGUCCCUGGUCCCUUCACUAAAUGGUUGUCUGGCCAAUAUUGGGGGUACGCCCACCAAAGGCCGUGUAGACCAGCCGGGCUCCCCCCUGGGCGGGUGGACAGGCAGCUUGGCAUGGCCUUGUGAACUCUCUGUGCCCCACACCAAUCCGGCAGCCAGGGCUGGGCUGGUGCGGCGGGUUUCAUUCACCCUCCGUUGCCCACCCAGCGUACAUGCAUGCCCCGGGCACCAGCAAAGAAUGCAACGCCACUGCUCCUAUGGAUUGGAGUCCAUGGGGAAUCUUCAAGAAUGUGUUGAGCAUUUCACUUCAAGGGAAAGACCCUGCAUAUGUGGAUUUUUGUCUCGCUUUCCAAAGUGUUUAAGUUUUCAUAAUUUGUUAUGGAUCUAUCUUUGCUGUAUAUGGGAAGUACAUAGGAAGCUGUCCGAUGGUCCAAUUAGCUCAGCACCAUCCGUAGAGAUUGACAGUUGCUCUCCAGAGGUUUAGGCAUGAAUCUUUUCCACCCUACAACAGAUGCCAAAAAUGGAACCUGAGACCUUCUGCAGGCAAGGCAGUUAUUCUAAUACUGAGAUAUGGUCCUUCCCCUAGGCCAGGCAUAGGCAAACUCAGCCCUCCAGAUGUUUUGGGACUACUAGCUAACAGGACCAGUGGUCAGGGAGGAUGAGAAUUGUAGUUUCAAAAAUAACUGGAAGGCCGAGUUUGCCUAUGCCUGCCCUAGGCAUUAUCAUUGCAUCUCAGAAGCUACUGUUUCACAAUGUCUUAAUACUUAUUAUUUAUUUAUGUAUUUAUUUAUUUCUAGGAAUACAAAACCUGGAAGUUUUGCAGCCUUGUGUGGUCAUUGGGUUAGCUGGUGCCAUUUUAUAUAGACAAG